GUUUUUUUUAGUUGUAGAUGGAUACGGUACCUUGAGUUUAUUCAUUUUUAUGUGGUGCUGAGGACCCAGAGUCUCACCUCCACCACCCAGCCCCAGCCCCACAGAAGGGGUUUUGUUAAGAAGUCUGCCCGACUGCCAGGCCAGGCCUCCUCUCACCGGCCUCACCCUCUGUCCAGAUUGGAAAGGCCUUUGUUUUAAGUUUGCUUUCCCUCAGGGCUGGGGCUGAGCCCAGGGCCUCCCCACGGGGAGGGCCUGAGCUCUGUUCUUGUUUUGGGCUGCUUCAGUGAGAACUCGGUUCCUCUCUUCAGCUUCACGCCGGGAAACUGCGAUUUCAGUUCUUGAUUUCUCAGGAAUUACACAGAACAGAGCCGGAACUGCUGCCGAGCCUGAUUCUCCAAUCUGAAAUUCGCAUCCACAGCAUAAGCUUGGAGGGGAGCCUGAGAGGGAGGCUGGGAGAACUGGGACCAUCUCUAACGGCCAGAGGCCCCCCCACUUCAAUUCCAGAGCUGGAGUGUCAGAGGGGCGUGUGGCCACCGCUGAAGGGGUGGGCCCCAUCUUCCUUGGAGCCAGGUACAGCCUCAAGGUCGAGUGAUGGGGACCGUGCUGUGUCCCCUUCUCUUUCCUAUCUGCUUUCAGCAGGAGAGUGGACGGGGGCAGGUGGAACUGCUCUGACCCUGGGCAGGGUGGAGUAGUGAGACAGCCGGGGGCUGGUUUUGGGGCCACCACAUGGAGUAGGGUCUCCUUCCUUCCUGGACCACCAACCACCCCUACAUGGUUAUUUCUAAUUCACCCCAGACGCUGUAUUUUGGGUCUUGUGAUUGUGCUUUCAUUGCUAUAACAAAACACCAAAGGCAUGCGAAGUUUCUAAGAAAAAGAGGCCUAUGUAGCUCAUGGAUUUUGGAGGCUGAAGUCCAAGGAGUGUGAGGGCCACCUGCUCUCCUAGUCUGCGUCCCAUUGCAGAUGGCAAUAGUAGGAGCCACUGUGGGAGGGAGGAAGAGAUGGCAUUGUUCAAUAGGGGCCCAGGAGGAAUGGCUGCUCUCCCUGGGGCAUGCCCAGGCUGUCCCAGGGACCCCCCCACUAGGUCCUGCCUCUUAAAGGCCCUCCGCCAUCCUCUACCACCUGAGCCUUCAGGGCAAACCCUGGUGGGCUAGCCACCACCCUGCACCUGGCGGGCAGCCUCCCCUGUCCACGCAACUUUAACUCUUGCCUUUGUAACCUGGCUCUCCUGACAGAGGUGCUCCCUGAGAACCGCAGCCGACUUGGUGUUCAGCCAGGGCCCAGCCGGAUAGCAACGCUGGAGGGCAGACAUGGGACACCUGAGGAUUCGCAGAAGCAGAAUCCUCAGGCACAUUCCUCAGGCCUCCCCAGGCACAUUCCUCAGGCCUCCCCAGCCUCCGGAUCCAGCUUGGACCUGGCCAAAUGGAUGUGACCUCACUUCUAACGGGUGGGAAGAUCCCACUGACCAAGGUGACUACAAUAACAAAGUAUCAGCUGCAAAGGUCCAAGAAAUGGGGAGGAUGUAAAUGUAGACAGCUUUAGAAUCCUGUGGAAAUAAGGAAGGCGGAGCUGGG
This 1571-nucleotide long non-coding RNA is filed under the name Marmota monax (woodchuck). Lineage: Eukaryota; Metazoa; Chordata; Mammalia; Rodentia; Sciuridae. The record is from RNAcentral.